UGGAGCGCUGGGCCUCCGUGGGGGAGGGGCAGGCGAGAGCACGGUAAAUGGCGCUGUCGGUACUCAGUCACAUCCAGCUCCCCGGCGUGCCCGGCGAGUUCACCUGCUGACCUGGUCGUCUAAGAAACGCCGCUCUGGUUCUGAUCUCGCCAUGAAUUCCACCCUAUUGCCAGAAAUGGGCUGGUUUCCCUUUGUUGUGCAAAAUGACUGUGUCCUUGAGGAAUGUUUGGAGGGUCUUGGCAACCAGGAAUCAUCCAGAAGCAUAUCUGGUGUCAGCUCAGUUGUGUUGUCAACAUUUCAUUUGGAGUUACCUGACCUUCAGAAGAACUUCAUCCAAUAGCCGACGUGUAUAAACUUCAAGGGUCCUGUGUGAAAAGCUCCAGAUUGGGAACCAGAGGAGUUAUAUGCUUGCCUUCAUCCUUCCCAGGGGUGAUAUUGAAGUUACUUUACAACAGAUGUGGCACAGGUGUGGCAAAGGUUCCAACCCUGCAGAACAGAAGCUGCUCAAUGCUGGGGCAGGAGCCUGGAUAUUCCCUACCCGGUGGACCAGUAUUUUGUAGAUGUGAUAAAUAUGUACGAUCCUGUUGACUUUAUAUAGAAGAUAUUAUCCUUGAUAAUCUGAGUGGGACCCCAUCUGAUCACUUGAAGGCUUUUAAGAGCAAAAACUGAGGCUUUCCUCAAGAAGAAAUCUUGCCUCAAGACUGUAGCAUCAAUUUCUACCUGAAUAUCUAGCCUGCCAGUCUGCCCUAUGGAUUUCAAACUUGCCAGCCCCCAUACUGCAUGAGCCAAUUUUUUAAAACAAACUUUAUAUAUAUAUAUAUAAAGACAGAUAAAGCAUAUGUGGCAAAUGUUAACUGAUAAAUCUAAGUAAAGAGUAUACAGGUGUUCAUUGUAGUAUUGUUUUCUCAAAGCUUGAAAUUCUUAUAAAAAAUUGGGAAAAGUUAAAAAUGUAUUCUAAUGAAAUUUUUUGGAAAGGUAAUACAGAUCAAUCAGCAGAGACACAUAGCCUCAUAACAAUACUAGAAUUUAAACAUAAAGAAAAACUCCUAUAGAUAUUGCCUUACAAAAUUAAGAAGAAUAAAUCAGUUUGGCAUCAGAAUUCUCCAUUCUGGCACUAAAAAACUGUAGAUCAAUAUCUAAAAAACCCUUGCGGAAGAGAAAAUGUGGCCCCAAAUUUUAGAACCAUUGAAGUAAAAACUCGUGGAAUUUAGUUCUGAGAGCUCUUCAGCCAACUAAAAGUUGAAUGAAGAAGUUGUUGAGGUAAACAGGGUAGUGGUGAGCAAUAAGUUUAUUUACAUUGUUAAGUUAAUCAGUCCAUUAGUUAUUCACUGAGUACCUAUUAUGCACUAGCUCUGGUGAUCAGCUGUAACCCAGAGGGACAUGGUUCCUUCCUUCAUGGUACUUAUAGUGUAUAGAGGGAGACAGGCUGAUUGAACAAAUACAUAAACAAUUACACUUUACCAAUUGCUAGGAAGGAAACAAAGAGACUGGUAUAUAAAAAAAAUAAUAGAGUUAGGCAGGGAGUGGUACCUCAUUUGGAUAGGGUAGCCACAGGAAAUACCUGUGAUUGAUAUUCAAGUUGGGACAUGAAACCUGAGAAACAGUAAGCCACGUGAAGAGCCAAGGGAAAAAGAAUUCCCUAUGUGGAGAGUACAGCCAGACUAGAUACAGAAUUAAGGCCUGGUAGUAUGAAUGCUCUAAAGCAACCCCACUCUUGUUUGUAGUAGAACAUCCAGCUUCCACAGCAGUUAGUGGAAAAUGUUUCAUCGGUUAGAAAUAAUUUGCCUAUCCAAUUAUAUCCUGAUGGAAAUUAUUUACUUAUAGUCACUUCAAAUUUCCUAUCAGGUUGAUGCUAAAUUAUAUGAAAUAGCAUUUACUGUUGGUGAUGGCAUGUAAGUAGUGAGACCAGAGAUUAAUAUCUUAAAAUACCCCACUGUAAUAUGAUUUGAUAAUUUUAUUUAUUUAAAAGAAUUUUUUUAAUGUUUAUUUUUGAGAGAGAGAGAUAAACAGAGCACUAGUGGGGGAGGGGCAGAGAGAGAAAGAGACAGAAU
This is a long non-coding RNA of Felis catus (domestic cat), 2051 nucleotides long. RefSeq lists it as uncharacterized. The transcript is spliced from 5 exons. The record is from RefSeq and is a predicted model, not a curated record. Lineage: Eukaryota; Metazoa; Chordata; Mammalia; Carnivora; Felidae.